GCCUUCUUAGCUCAGUGGUAGAGCGUUGGUCUCGUAUAGACGAAAUAAGACAACCAAAGGUCGAGAGUUCAAUCCUCUCAGGAGGCA
This 87-nucleotide transfer RNA is filed under the name Daphnia magna. It matches the Rfam family "tRNA". From Rfam's summary of the family: Transfer RNA (tRNA) molecules are approximately 80 nucleotides in length. The record is from Rfam by way of RNAcentral. Lineage: Eukaryota; Metazoa; Arthropoda; Branchiopoda; Diplostraca; Daphniidae.